RNAcentral lists this ribosomal RNA (346 nucleotides) under uncultured bacterium. Its description in RNAcentral is "partial 16S ribosomal RNA". It matches the Rfam family "Bacterial small subunit ribosomal RNA", at positions 338 to 681 of the family's 1533-position model. The record is from RNAcentral.
CCUACGGGUGGCAGCAGUGAGGAAUAUUGGUCAAUGGGCGCGAGCCUGAACCAGCCAAGUAGCGUGAAGGAUGACUGCCCUACGGGUUGUAAACUUCGUUUAUAAAGGAAUAAAGUGAGGCACGUGUGCCUUUUUGGAUGUACUUUAUGAAUAAGGAUCGGCUAACUCCGUGCCAGCAGCCGCGGUAAUACGGAGGAUCCGAGCGUUAUACGGAGUGAUUGGGUUUAAAGGGAGCGUAGAUGGGUUGUUAAGUCAGUUGUGAAAGUUUUCGGCUCCACCGUAAAAUUGCAAUUGAUACUGGCAGUCUUUAGUUCCGUUGCGUUCGGCUGUUUUCGUGUUGUAGCGG